CACCCGCUCCCGAUACUCUUCACCGAGUGUCGAGACGGGCCGGCACGUUUACUUUGAAUCAAACUGAGUGCUCAAGGCAGGCAAAUUUUACCCGCUUGAAAGAUUUUGCAUGGAAUAAUGAAAUAGGACCUCGCUUCUAUUUUGUUGGUUUUCGGAACCCCGAGGUAAUGAUAAAUAGGGACUGACGGGGGCAUUAGUAUUGCGGCGUUAGAGGUGAAAUUCUUGGAUCGUCGCAAGACUACCUAAAGCGAAAGCAUUUGCCAAGGAUGUUUUCAUUAAUCAAGAACGAAAGUUAGAGGUUCGAAGGCGAUCAGAUACCGCCCUAGUUCUAACCAUAAACGAUGCUAGCCAGCGAUCCGCGGUGGUUCGUUUGUAAUGACCCCGCGGGCAGCUUCCGGGAAACCAGAGCUUCUGAGUUCCGGGGGUAGUAUGGUUGC
RNAcentral lists this ribosomal RNA (437 nucleotides) under Liposcelis bostrychophila. Its description in RNAcentral is "SSU rRNA". It matches the Rfam family "Eukaryotic small subunit ribosomal RNA", at positions 704 to 1132 of the family's 1831-position model. Lineage: Eukaryota; Metazoa; Arthropoda; Insecta; Psocodea; Liposcelididae. The record is from RNAcentral.